Piliocolobus tephrosceles (Ugandan red Colobus) is the source of this 585-nucleotide long non-coding RNA. RefSeq lists it as uncharacterized. NCBI's taxonomy places the organism in Eukaryota, Metazoa, Chordata, Mammalia, Primates, Cercopithecidae. The transcript has 4 exons. The record is from RefSeq and is a predicted model, not a curated record.
GACAAGGUUUCACCGUGUUAGCCAGGAUGGUCUGGAUCUCCUGACCUCGUGAUCCGCCCGUCUUGGCCUCCCAAAGUGCUGGGAUUGCAGGCUUGAGCCACCGCGCCCGGCCAAUGCUACUUCUUAAAACGUCUGCAUCAUUGACAGUAUCUCCUUUAUGCCCUGGAAUGCAUGAAGCUCUGCCCAGAAGGACCCUGUGUUAGACCAGCUGAACGAACCCUGCCAUGUUGGUACAAGACCUCCAGAACGCUCACUGCCUUGGAGUCAUCGAAAGCUUUGUGCUGAUGAACAUGGCCACCUUGAAAGAUGUGUUGAAUAUGGCAGAGCCAGAAAAUGCAAGGAGUCUUCUUCUCUGGAUCACCACUUGAAGAAGAGCCACUUGCUGCUCACAAACCCUACUUUGGACUGAGAAAUCAAGCUGGAGAUGAAGAGAGAAGGAUGGAAUGAUCUCCGAAGCCUCUUCCAGCUUUUUCAAGAUUCCAUGUUGCAUAUUCUCCAAGAUUGGAAGGGUGCUGGCUCAUUAAAUUUGACAAAUAUAAGGCCUAGUCUUGGCUUCACUCAACUAAUUGGUACUUUUUUUUUUUC